UUUUUUUUUUUGGCAUUUUAAACUUUACGCUCUCUUUCAAAGGAUGUUGUAGUCUUCGUGUUUACUAGCAUUACAACAAGACUGAGAAUACAGCAAGAGAGACUUUGUUUUCUCCUUUUUGCCUUUCAAAAAGAAAAAAAGAAAAAGAGGGAGAAGAAGAGAAAGAAAAAGAAAAGAAAGAAAGAAAAAGGAAAAGAAAAAGAAAAGAAAGAAAGAAAAAGGAAAAAAGAAAGAAAAAAGAAAAAGAAAAAGAAAAAGAAAAAGGAGAAGGAGAAGGAGAAGGAGAAGGAAAAAGAAAAAAUAAAUAAAAGGAAAAAGAUAAAAAGAAAAAGGGAAAAGAAAACAAUUUAUCUCUCCCCCUAGUAAUCCUCUCCUGUUAGAAAUAUACAUAGUUAUAAAUAUCACCAUGUAUAAAUAUAUACACUUAUUAAUAUAGUGUAAAAUCUCAUCUUUUGGGUAGCCUCUCUCUUCAUGCUAAAAUGCCUGAGACUGAUCAUAUUGACAAUGUAAUUUCACCUCUGAGAGAAGGCAUAACUCUUCUUCUGAGGGGUGCCCCAUGAUUGCCCCCCAGGCUGGACCCACCUCUGCGCCCAGUGAAUGCCUGGGCAGAAAAUGUGCUUCUUUAGCACGUGCAACAUCCCAUGGGCCUGAACACAUGGGGCAUUCUUAGGUGGUAUUAAUAUGUAAGUAGGUGGUUAGGACCCUGCCAGGCAUGUUUGGGCAGGCUGCCCAAGGCCCUGGUGUGGAUUGCGUGCAGGCACAAUGUGCUCUUGUCUGCUCCUGGGAGUGCAUUAUGAGCAAGUGAGGUAGACAUACCUCUGGAAACCUGAGUAUGGCAAACUGUUCCGGUUCAUGUUAAGGGGGAAAAGGAAAUGAAUAAACAUUAUAAAUCUGUGUUAGCCCAGAAAGACUGAAGAGCAUUCUUUCAUGCACAAUAAAGAGUAACAGAAAUAAAGGUAAGUAAGAGUAAAAGGAAUUUUUGAGCUCUUCUCCGGUGCAAGAAUUCCAUGAAAAACCUUGGAAAGAUUCAGAUGUACGUAGAUAAACCGAGGUACUUCAGGAGUCUUUGUUAGUGCAUGCACAGAGUUUGCUGAACCGGAAUGUUUCCCCUAAAUUUGACAAAUAUUGCACUCUGUUAAAGAUCUGAUUUAAAGACUAUUCAUAAAUUACUAUUUCCUUGGUCCAUCCUGGGAUUCUGAAGCAUUCCACAUUUACUGCUGAAGAAAGACACAACUGCAGCUCUUCAAAUCUGGGUUUCAGUAGAGUAAUACUGUAGCAGCUCUUAAAAGCCUCUCCAGGCUUUUAAGCCAGCAAGACUAGAAUUAGCUUGAGUUUGCAUAGCCCCAGGCUAGUCCUGCAAAGGCAGCAUUGCUGGGUUAGGAUUCAGUAGUGGCUGCAUUCCCUCCUGCCUUCCUCCCAGGUGGGUUGGGGAUGGAUGCAUAUCACAGUUCUGCAACAUCACGUGUCUGGGUUUCUGAAAUGAGGUUUUAAAAUUCUAGCUUGUGGGAAAUUGCUGAAUAUUUGAUUUCAUAAUUAAGGUUGAAGGAAAUACCACAUCAAAAUACUGUAAGUCCAUGCAAUUAAGAAAACUUGUGUUUCAGAUAAUUCUAGUCUAGCCUCCUUGCUGUUUUCAUAGAUCAUUGAUUAACUACGUACAAGGAAAUAUUCCUUUUCCAAAAAAAUAACAUGUAUAUAUAUAUAUAAUUUUUUUAAAUUGCACAGUAGAAACAUUUGAAAUAGUAUGGAGAUAAGCUUAUGAUGGGGCUUUGGUAUUGCUGAUGACAGUAUUCAGUUGCCGGAUAAAAGUAUAUCCUACAGAUGAUAUAGCAAAAUUACUCCAAUGGCUAAGGGUACAUUAAUAGCCCUAGGACAAAGAUUCAGAUAAGGCAAAGCCACAUACAAAUAAAUAUGAAGAUGGGAAGCAUAUGUGGCUGUAUGGAAACUCAAAGCAGACGAUGGAACAUCAGUUAAUCAGAAAAUUCCAGUGAAGGGAGUAGUAAGGGUAAUGGACAAUAUACUGAACAAGCAAAAAAGACAAUGCUGUCACAAGAAAGACAAACGCCACACUAGGUUGUGUUAAUUGGAGCACAGUAUGUAAUACAAGGAAGGCAGUUUUUCCGCUCUGUUUGACUUGGCUGAGCUUCAUCCAGACAGCCACAUUUAGUUUGGGCUACCACGUUUUUCAAAGAAUACAGACAAAUUAGAAGGACUUAAGAGAAGGACAUCAAAAAUGAUAAAAGGUGUUGAAAAUAUGGCCCAGGAGAAAAGCUUAAGAGACUGGGGUAUGUUCAGGCUAGAGAAGAGAAGUCAAAAGGGAGACAUAAUAACUCCUGAUAAUUGCAUAAAGGGGUGUUACCAAGAGGACAGGGACCAAUUUUUCUCAUUAGUCAAUGGGAAAAAAAACCCCAAGAAUUAAUGGACUUCAGUUGCAACCUAGAUAAUAGGGUUAAAUAUUAGGGAAAACUUUUCAACUGCAAGAACAGUUGGGUCGUGGAGCAAACUGUAGAGAGGUUUUCCAGAAUCAUGUCCACUGCAGGAUUUUAACACCAGACUUUAUGUCGAUCUAUCAGCAAAGGUUUAAAUUUAAUGAAAUCAAUCCUGACACAAUACAUGAGGGAAGGAGAAAAAAAGACUGGGCUGAAUGACCUGCAUGGAAUGUGUUUGCUGGUAAACAGCUCUGUGAUUCUCUGACCCCAUGCAGUACGAGAGAUUUAUUUGCUGUUGUUAAUUUUUUCCUUAUCUGUAAUUCCUGUCUUCAUCUGAAAGGGAAAAUGCAAGGAUGUGUUUUCCGCGUUUAAAUUAAUACUGAUAUGUAUCUGCCUUAUACAUCUAGAGAUGUGACCACAUUUCCCACUCUUACACUGGCUGGUGACUAGUGUACAUUUAAAGUGUCAGCUAGGAACUGAAGAUUUCAUACCUUCCAGCUGCAGGGCGACUCUUGGGUCCAAGUAGUGGCUCGUUGUGUUUGACACCUUUCUGCAGUGUGUUGCAGCUAAGGGCAAGGUGUGUCUUUAAAGCCCUUUCAAAACUACAUACUUACCACGAACUAGUAAAAUUUAUACCCUAAACCUAUACUUUCUCUGCUUGGAGCAUGACAAAUGUUAAAGGAAAUAUCUUUCAUGAACAUGGUGCCCCUGGCCUUAUGCUAUCUGCUUGCUCAACAUCCUUUAUGUAGCUUGGGCUGUUAAACUCAAGAUAAAACCACUGUGCAUCAGCAGCUGCAAAGUGAGCAUUAGGACUAGUAUCAAAGUCCAGGACACUGACAACUUAUAUAAACAACAAACUUUUUCAAUUACUCUAAGCAAUUCCUAAUGCACAUAAGCAAACCAGAUUAAUAUUUAAGCCAAAAUUCUGAGGUACCAAUAUACAAUUAAACAGAAGGGGGGGGGGGGGGGAGAGAAUGUUUUUCUUUUUGCUGUUGACUGCAUUGAAAUACUAAGUGUCCUCAAACCACUGCUUAAUGACAUAGACUGGAAAUGAAGUAGCUGAACGAACCCCCUAUAUGGAAGUGUUCUGCCAACAACCAUUCCAGUGCCAGCAGUAAAUUCCCAGACUAAACAGUUUAAAUUUGACAUUCUCAUUUGUGAUGCUGUACUUAUGCUACACUCAGAAGAUUGAUUCUCUGAAUUUAAAGUAUUCUAGCAAAUGAAUUAUUAGAAAUAUGAAAUUUUGGAUGACAAUCAUAUGUCUACAGCAAAUUAAUCUGAGAUUUUAACAAAACACUAUUCUUAUCAAGAGAAAUUUGUGGUGGUUUGAACAAUAAUAGCUGCAGUCAGGGUCAGUCAGUUUUCCACUCUAAUUUCUACUUUCAGGAGACUAAAUCCAAUGCUGACUGAAGCCUGACAACCAGCUCUCAGAUGAGACAAUGCUUUUUAUAGUAACCGAUGGAAAUAAAUUUUUUUGUUCUAAA
This is a long non-coding RNA of Strigops habroptila (Kakapo), 3910 nucleotides long. The record is from Ensembl. NCBI's taxonomy places the organism in Eukaryota, Metazoa, Chordata, Aves, Psittaciformes, Psittacidae.